This 74-nucleotide transfer RNA is filed under the name Schistocerca americana (American grasshopper). Its description in RNAcentral is "tRNA-Thr". It matches the Rfam family "tRNA". Rfam says of the family: Transfer RNA (tRNA) molecules are approximately 80 nucleotides in length. Lineage: Eukaryota; Metazoa; Arthropoda; Insecta; Orthoptera; Acrididae. The record is from RNAcentral.
GCCCUCGGUGGCUCAGAUGGAUAGAGCGUCUGCUGUGUAAGCAGGAGACCCGGGUUCGAGUCCCGGUCGGAGCA